UCGUCUAAUAUCAAACAGAAUAAAUAUGAAGACGUGUCAUGGUAGUGAAGGAGUUAAACAUCUGUGUAGCUUCAAUUAGAGCCUUUUGAAAUAGUGGAGGUGCGGCAAGGAAGGAAAGUGUUUCGAACCUUGUCUCGAGCCGCUGUUUCUCUCUGGCAUCGUUCAUUCAUCUCGUUACGCAGUUCGGUAAGUAAAGUUGUUAUCUCCGUUCGUGUAUCGCAGUAUUUGAUUCAGCAGAUGUGUUUGUUUAUCAUUUAGUUCAUAGUUUAUAGUUUUCAAGUGUGAAUUGGGGUUUAUGGAGGAUGUAUCUGGUGCAAAUAAAGUGAGUCGGGAAUGUGUGUUCAGACCACAGUGGAAACCUUUAGCCAGUCACAGCGUAGCAUCAGGACACUCUUAGCCAGUGUGAGGCCGGCCAGCUUGAGGCAAUGAGAGGCGAGAGAUGAGAAACAUUACUAGCGGGAGGAAGUCUGCAAGGUGAGGACAGCAAGGUCCGGGUUGCAGCUGGGAUCGGCGAGAAGUCACGAGGGUACAGCCGAGGGUCAAACUGAGUACCCUGAAGGAUCUUUGUUGUAGGAUUACCAACUUCGCGGCGGGGGUUGGCACGCCUGGCUGGCCACGAAAAAAGGAUCGUGCGAGGAGAAGAGUAAGCGCGUUGAUAGGUUGUCCUGCAGUGAGUUCCCGAGCCUUUGUGCAUUACGUGUCCUGAGCUGACCACGGCAUCUUCACACGCCCUCACUCUCGUCCUCCCAGACUCCCGUCUUCCCUCACUCCCCCGCCUGAGUUACUUGUACUGAGUGAAGCAUUGAAGCACCACCGAACCUCUGCACCAACGCAUCGCCCACCUCGACGCGGAAAGGAAACGAGAGGAUAAAGGAUAGAGAAGAGAAGAGGAAAGGAGAGAGUGAGCGGUAGAGAGGAAAGAGAAGAAAGAAGAGAGAAGAGAGAAGAGGAGUGCUGAUUUUCUCGCUGCAUUGUACAGAUCUAUGGAAGACUUCAAAAAACAACUGAAAACUGGAACAUCGUUGAGGACAGAGUAAUGAAGAGGUUCAGAGGAAUUUCUUUAGAUGUUUCGUGGUCUUAGUGUGCUUUGAUCAUGUCCUGUGCUGAAAAAAAAAAAUGCUGUCUUUGCUCUAGAACCCCACAAAAGAGGUUUAAGAUAGUUCAUUUGUACUUUAAAGGGUAUUUUAUUUUUCCUCUCUUUUAGAUUAUCAUGGAUAUGUUUUAUGCCUUAUAAAUGUUCUGAUCGCUUUAUAAACACACAAAAGAGGUAUAAGGAUCAGUUUUAUGCUUUAAAGUUUUCUCUUUUUUCCUCGUGGAGCGUUGUGUGUUUUCUGCCUAAAAAUGUUCUAAUCGCCUUAGAAACACAGGAAUAAGAUUUAAGAUGAACUAAAGGUGUUUUAUAGGUAUUUUGUGUUCUCUUAUAAUGUUGUGUGUGUGUGUCUUCCGCU
Portunus trituberculatus (swimming crab) is the source of this 1448-nucleotide long non-coding RNA. RefSeq lists it as uncharacterized. The record is from RefSeq and is a predicted model, not a curated record. The transcript has 5 exons. NCBI's taxonomy places the organism in Eukaryota, Metazoa, Arthropoda, Malacostraca, Decapoda, Portunidae.